GACGAACGCUGGCGGCACGCCUAACACAUGCCAGUCGAACGGACUUAUAAGAGCUUGCUUUUUUAAGUUAGUGGCGGACGGGUGAGUAACACGUGAGCAACCUGCCUCUGAGAGGGGGAUAGCUUCUGGAAACGGAUGGUAAUACCCCAUAAAAUAUAAAUAUCGCAUGAUAGAUAUAUCAAAGAAAUUCGCUCAGAGAUGGGCUCGCGUCUGAUUAGAUAGUUGGUGAGGUAACGGCUCACCAAGUCGACGAUCAGUAGCUGGACUGAGAGGUUGAACGGCCACAUUGGGACUGAGACACGGCCCAGACUCCUACGGGAGGCAGCAGUGGGGAAUAUUGCACAAUGGAGGGAACUCUGAUGCAGCGAUGCCGCGUGGAUGAAGAAGGUUUUCGGAUUGUAAACUCCUUUUAUCCGGGACGAUAAUGACAGUACCUGAAGAAAAAGCUCCGGCUAACUACGUG
This 463-nucleotide ribosomal RNA is filed under the name uncultured bacterium. RNAcentral's name for it is "partial 16S ribosomal RNA". It matches the Rfam family "Bacterial small subunit ribosomal RNA", at positions 28 to 507 of the family's 1533-position model. The record is from RNAcentral.